RNAcentral lists this long non-coding RNA (269 nucleotides) under Lathyrus oleraceus (garden pea). Its description in RNAcentral is "Pisum sativum (pea) long non-coding RNA (PSAT_LNC023494)". The record is from RNAcentral. Lineage: Eukaryota; Viridiplantae; Streptophyta; Magnoliopsida; Fabales; Fabaceae.
UUUUUAAAAAUCACUCAUAUGACAAAGAGGCAAAAUAGUUAUUAACCCUUCAUUUUUUUAUCAGUCUUCAUCUGCCUCUUCUUGGUCUUAUUGAGGAGAGCUUAAGUUGGAGUUAUUUUUGGAAUUUCAGGUUCAGGGAAUAGUUAGAGUCCUUAUGAGAGGUUUAAACCUCCUUCGUUGCAUAGCAUGGCGCGAUUUUCUCCAGGUCCUAUCAAAAUCCUUCUUUCCUACCUUCCCAACUUUAGCUUUGUAGUAACUUUGGUCGGCUU